CCCUCCGAGGGGUGCUGCAGCGGUUCGAAGGUCCAAUUCCCGCCAGGCUCGGAUGUCCAAACGGCACCCAUUCAUU
RNAcentral lists this non-coding RNA (76 nucleotides) under unidentified. Its description in RNAcentral is "Gallionellales bacterium SAH sequence". It matches the Rfam family "SAH (S-adenosyl-L-homocysteine) riboswitch aptamer". The record is from RNAcentral.